RNAcentral lists this ribosomal RNA (423 nucleotides) under uncultured bacterium. Its description in RNAcentral is "bacterial SSU rRNA". It matches the Rfam family "Bacterial small subunit ribosomal RNA", at positions 76 to 512 of the family's 1533-position model. The record is from RNAcentral.
CCCUUUCGGGGGUACACGAGCGGCGAACGGGUGAGUAACACGUGAGCAAUCUGCCCAUCACUUCGGGAUAACUCCGGGAAACCGGUGCUAAUACCGAAUACGACCACUUCAGGCAUCUGAUGGUGGUGGAAAGUUCUGGCGGUGAUGGAUGAGCUCGCGGCCUAUCAGCUUGUUGGUGGGGUAGUGGCCUACCAAGGCUUCGACGGGUAGCCGGCCUGAGAGGGUGACCGGCCACACUGGGACUGAGACACGGCCCAGACUCCUACGGGAGGCAGCAGUGGGGAAUAUUGGACAAUGGGCGGAAGCCUGAUCCAGCAACGCCGCGUGAGGGAUGACGGCCUUCGGGUUGUAAACCUCUUUCAGCAGGGACGAAGCGCAAGUGACGGUACCUGCAAAAAAAGCACCGGCCAACUACGUGCCAGC